UCAAGCGAACAAGGGCGCAGGGCGAAUGCCUUGGCACUGGGAGCCGAUGAAAGACGUGAUAAGCUGCGAUAAGCUUCGGGGAGCUGCAAAUAAGCAUUGAUCCGGAGAUUUCUGAAUGAGGAAACUCACCUGGGUUCAUACUCAGGUACGUUAUACUGAACUUAAAAAUAGGUAUAUCGAGGGAACCGCCUGAACUGAAACAUCUAAGUAGGGCGAGGAAGAGACAUCAAACGAGAUUCCGUAAGUAGUGGCGAGCGAACGCGGAAGAGGGCAAACCGAGAGUAGAAAUACUUUCGGGGUACGGACUGCUUUUAAGACUCAAUCUGUUAACCGAACGGCAUGGGAAGGCCGGUCAGAGAGUGUGAGAACCACGUAGGUGAAAACGGAGAGAGCUGCGCAGGAUCCAGAGUACGGCCAGACACGUGAAACCUGGUCGGAAUACGGGGGGACCACCCUCCAACCCUAAAUACUACCCAGUGACCGAUAGCGUAUAGUACUGUGAAGGAAAGGUGAAAAGCACCCCGGGAGGGGAGUGAAAAAGAACCUGAAACCCUGUGCCUACAAGCACCUAGAGCACGUCAAUGUGUGAUAGGGUACUUUUUGUAGAACGGUCCGGCGAGCGAUUGUAUGCAGCAAGGUUAAGGACUUAAGGUCUGGAGCCGAAGCGAAAGCGAGUUUGAAAAGGGCGUUAAGUUGCAUACAAUGGGCCCGAAACCGGGUGACCUACCCAUGGUCAGGUUGAAGUGGAAGUAAAAUUCCAUGGAGGACCGAACCGACCUCCGUUGAAAAGGCGGCGGAUGAACUGUGGGUAGCGGAGAAAUUCCAAUCGAACCCGGAGAUAGCUGGUUCUCCCCGAAAUAGUUUUAGGACUAGCCUCAAGUUAGAUACCUGGAGGUAAAGCACUGAAUAGCCUAGCGGCCGAGAGGUUAGCGAAGCUUAUCAAACUCAGAAUGCCAGAGUAUUGAUGCUUGGGAGUCAGACAGUGUCAGAUAAAUGUCAUUGUCAAAAGGGAAACAGCCCAGAUCUACAGCUAAGGUCCCAAAGUCAGGUUAAGUGGAAAACGAUGUGAAGAUACGCAGACAACCAGGAUGUUGGCUCAGAAGCAGCCACUCAUUCAAAGAGUGCGUAAUAGCUCACUGGUCGAGCGUCUUUGCGCGGAGAAUUUAACGGGGCUAAACCUGACACCGAAGCUUAGGCAAUACAGCAAUGUAUUGGGUAGGGGAGCGUUGUAUACGCGGUGAAACAGUAGCGCAAGCGGCUGUGGAGUGUAUAGAAGUGAGAAUGCCGGAAUGAGUAGCGCGAAUGCAGUGAGAAUCUGCAUGGCCGAAAGCCUCAGGUUUCUGGAGGAAGGUUCGUCCGCUCCAGGUUAGUCGGGAGCUAAGGUGAGGCCGGAAGGCGUAGCCGAUGCACAGACGGUAGAGAUUCCGUCACCACCAAAAGAGUUAAGCACAGGGACACAUAUGAAGUCUCAGAGCCGGGUGUUGGUUCCGGUAGAGAUCGAGGGAAAUUAGUACCGAAGUCUGAGAUGGAAGAUGGCGAGAAAAGCUGUGUGUAUUUCUGAGGUGCCCGUACCGCAAACCGACACAGGUAGGUAGGAAGAAGAUUCUAAGGCCAACGGGAGAAGGGUUGUUAAGGAACUCGGCAAAUUGACCCCGUAACUUCGGGAGAAGGGGUGCUCCAGAGAUGGAGCCGCAGAGAAUCGGCCCAAGCAACUGUUUACCAAAAACACAGGUUUGUGCUAAAUCGAAAGAUGACGUAUACGAGCUGACGCCUGCCCGGUGCUGGAAGGUUAAGAGGAGAUGUGCAAGCAUUGAAUCGAAGCCCCAGUGAACGGCGGCCGUAACUAUAACGGUCCUAAGGUAGCGAAAUUCCUUGUCAGGUAAGUUCUGACCCGCAUGAAAGGCGUAAUGAUUUGGGCACUGUCUCAACAGCCCGCCCGGCGAAAUUGUAGUACCGGUGAAGAUGCCGGUUACCCGCGACAAGACGGAAAGACCCCAUGGAGCUUUACUGUAGCCUAAUAUUGGGUUUCGAUGUUGCAUGCACAGGAUAGAUGGGACACAGGGAAACAAGUGCUUUGGCAUUUGUGGAGUGGCCGUUGGGAUACCAUCCUUGCGAUAUUGGAAUUCUAACCUGCGGCUCUGAAUCGAGUCGGGGGACAUUGUUAGGUGGGCAGUUUGACUGGGGCGGUCGCCUCCUAAAGAGUAACGGAGGCGUUCAAAGGUUCGCUCAGCUUGAACGGAAAUCAAGCAAAAGAGUGCAAACGCAGAAGCGAGCCUAACUGCGAGACUGACGGGUCGAGCAGUAACGAAAGUUGGAGUUAGUGAUCCGGUGGUAUGUGAGUGGAAAUGCCAUCGCUCAACGGAUAAAAGUUACCCUGGGGAUAACAGGCUGAUCUCCCCCAAGAGUCCACAUCGACGGGGAGGUUUGGCACCUCGAUGUCGGCUCAUCACAUCCUGGGGCUGUAUUCGGUCCCAAGGGUUCGGCUGUUCGCCGAUUAAAGUGGUACGCGAGCUGGGUUCAGAACGUCGCGAGACAGUUCGGUCCCUAUCUGUCGUGGGCGCAGGAUAUUUGAGGAGCUCUGUCCUUAGUACGAGAGGACCGGGAUGGACGUACCUCUGGUGCACCAGUUGUCAUGCCAAUGGCACGGCUGGGCAGCUACGUACGGAACGGAUAAACGCUGAAAGCAUCUAAGCGUGAAGCCGACUCCAAGAUUAGAUAUCCCAUUGCAUAAGCAAGUAAGACCCCUUGAGGACUACGAGGUUGAUAGGCUGCGUGUGUAAGUGUCGUGAGGCAUUUAGCUUGGCAGUACUAAUAGGUCGAGGGCUUGACCAC
RNAcentral lists this ribosomal RNA (2832 nucleotides) under human gut metagenome. Its description in RNAcentral is "bacterial LSU rRNA". It matches the Rfam family "Bacterial large subunit ribosomal RNA". The record is from RNAcentral.